GAGUUUGAUCCUGGCUCAGGAUGAACGCUGGCGGCGUGCCUAACACAUGCAAGUCGAACGGAGCCUUAUCAGCAGAAGCAGCCAGCUUGCUGGAAGCGGAAGAGGGAAAGGCUUAGUGGCGGACGGGUGAGUAACGCGUGGGUAACCUGGCCCAUACAGGGGGAUAACACUUAGAAAUAGGUGCUAAUACCGCAUAACAACAGAAAGCGCAUGCUUUUUGUUUGAAAACCAAGGUGGUAUGGGAUGGACCCGCGUCUGAUUAGCUGGUUGGCGGGGUAAAGGCCCACCAAGGCGACGAUCAGUAGCCGGCCUGAGAGGGUGGACGGCCACAUUGGGACUGAGACACGGCCCAAACUCCUACGGGAGGCAGCAGUGGGGAAUAUUGCACAAUGGGGGAAACCCUGAUGCAGCGACGCCGCGUGAGUGAAGAAGUAAUUCGUUAUGUAAAGCUCUAUCAGCAGGGAAGAAAAUGACGGUACCUGAGUAAGAAGCCCCGGCUAACUACGUGCCAGCAGCCGCGGUAAUACGUAGGGGGCAAGCGUUAUCCGGAUUUACUGGGUGUAAAGGGAGCGUAGACGGCAGUGCAAGUCUGGAGUGAAAGGCGGGGGCUCAACCCCCGGACUGCUCUGGAAACUGUACGGCUGGAGUG
RNAcentral lists this ribosomal RNA (649 nucleotides) under uncultured bacterium. RNAcentral describes it as "bacterial SSU rRNA". It matches the Rfam family "Bacterial small subunit ribosomal RNA", at positions 9 to 648 of the family's 1533-position model. The record is from RNAcentral.